CUCGGCAACCACCACGUCUCCAUCGAUGAGAAGAUGAUGAUUCGCCUCCCAGCCCACGCCGGCGCCGACGCCUUCACCUAACAUCAAUCAAACCCCUAUCGUUCCUCCUCCGAUUCUUCCUCGAGAAGGCCGCUGCCGCUCCUUCUCCGAUCUCAUCACCCCUGAUCAAUCACCGCCGAGGAGGGUAAAGAAGAAAGGAAAGAAAGACUAGAGAGGCUCCACCUUCAAAACCACCGAUCGAUCCGUGGCCUCCUCCCUUCUCUCGGACUCAUAACGAAAGAAAGAAGAAUGACAUCAAAUGACAUAAAGAUUUGGGGGAAUGGUGGACAAGCGUACGUUGAAUUGGUUGGAUCAACAAGACAGAUGGGAGAGAGAGAGAGAGCGAGAGAGAGAGAGAGAGAGGAAGAGGGGGGCAAAAGACUCUCUUUUUGUGUUUUUGGCUUCCUUCUUUGUUCGUCCGCUCAUUGUGGGAAAAUUUUAAGGUGGAGACCCGAGUCCCGAGUUUGGCGAGCACGAGUCAGAAUGGAUGGUCAAUCCCAUCUCGCAUCGCAAAGUCUCUACGGAUGGC
This 568-nucleotide long non-coding RNA is filed under the name Musa acuminata (dwarf banana). Its description in RNAcentral is "long non-coding RNA (MACU_LNC011638)". Lineage: Eukaryota; Viridiplantae; Streptophyta; Magnoliopsida; Zingiberales; Musaceae. The record is from RNAcentral.